CUCUACAAAGCUGAGUCUCGUCAAUUAGAUUAUAAAUAAGUCUCAUUUUGAAAGAAGUACUGAAAUGUUUUUUUGAAAAGGAUGAAGAAGACUUGUUUAUCAAACAGUGUAAAAAUAGAUCAUUAAGAUCGACAUCUCUUACAUAUUUCAACAUAACUAUGGCAACCAAGAAGUUUUUAUCUCUCAUAUCCUUGAUGGUGUUGGUUUCCAUCUAUCUUCCCAUGGUUUCAGGACAAGUCAGAGAAUGUUUUCUACAACAACAGUGUAAGAACUCAACGACAUGUAAUGAGUUUUGUAGGUUUAAAGGAUACAGACUAGGAGGAUUUUGUGAGCACUUUGUUGGCUCAAAGAACGGCCAUUGUUGCUGCUAUUUUGGUUUUGAGUCUGAAAAGUUUUCCAACUCCGAUGAUACCAAUGUAUUCAUUACUAAUUAAUUCAUCAUUGUAGUGGUUCAAAACAAUGUAUUCUUAGCAGAGGCGGAUCUAGAAAAUGAUAUAACAUGG
Long non-coding RNA from Brassica oleracea var. oleracea, 503 nucleotides. RefSeq lists it as uncharacterized. The transcript has 3 exons. NCBI's taxonomy places the organism in Eukaryota, Viridiplantae, Streptophyta, Magnoliopsida, Brassicales, Brassicaceae. The record is from RefSeq and is a predicted model, not a curated record.